Molecule: ribosomal RNA, 253 nt
Filed under: uncultured bacterium
Lineage: Bacteria
Description: partial 16S ribosomal RNA
Rfam family: Bacterial small subunit ribosomal RNA
Source: RNAcentral
UACGAAGGGGGCUAGCGUUGUUCGGAAUCACUGGGCGUAAAGAGCUCGUAGGCGGCUUGUCGCGUCGACUGUGAAAACCCGCGGCUCAACUGCGGGCCUGCAGCCGAUACGGGCAGGCUAGAGUUCGGUAGGGGAGACUGGAAUUCCUGGUGUAGCGGUGAAAUGCGCAGAUAUCAGGAGGAACACCGGUGGCGAAGGCGGUUCUCUGGGCCUUACCUGACGCUGAGGAGCGAAAGCAUGGGGAGCGAACAGG